Long non-coding RNA from Pan troglodytes (chimpanzee), 1465 nucleotides. RefSeq lists it as uncharacterized. Lineage: Eukaryota; Metazoa; Chordata; Mammalia; Primates; Hominidae. The transcript has 5 exons. The record is from RefSeq and is a predicted model, not a curated record.
AGGUGAGUACACAGUGAGAAGAUGGCCAACUAUAAGCCAGGAAACAGGCCUCCAUCAACAAGGAAUCUGCCGGCAACUUGAUCUUGGACUUCCCAGCCUCCAGGAUUGAAGAAAAAUAUGUUGCAAACAUGGAGGAAAGAUGAUGGCCUCCUUCAACAGAACUGUGAGUUGUCCAAGAUUUCACAAAGUUCUUCAAGCAUGGCAUUUGAUGAUGAGCCCUAAGAUGACUUGAGCCUCACGUCAACUCUCUUUGCUACACACCCCUCUUUGGAGACCACCACUUCAUGCAAUGGGGAGUGACAUUAGGGCUGAACUUUAAGAAAGAGAACUCUGACAGCAAUGAGAAGACAGAAAAAGAGAAUGACCAGAUAUCCAAAAUGGGAUCGUAGCAUCGAACAUGAGAAGGCCAUGCAUAAGAUGGGGUAGGUCCAAUCAACAAAAUUUGAAAAAAGGUCAGCUUUGGAGUGGUCUGAAAAGGGAGACAAAGGAGGAGACAGAAUUCUGGAUGAUUUCACGGUAACAAUCCUGAGUGACCUGGAGGAUAUAAUAGUAUUAACUAAAAAGGAAAAUGCACAAGACAGCAAUUUGAGGGAAGGACAUUUAGAUGAAGAGAUCCUUGAGAAAUACAUGCAUUUAAAAGACAAGUGGGAGAGAAACUAAUGAAGGAGCUGAAAAUGGCCAAUGACACUGGAAAAGAACGACGACAGUAAAGUGUCCUAGUAGCCAAGGGAAGAGAGAAAGCACUUUUUAAAGGAUGAGAUGAUCACUUGUGUCAACUUCUGUCAAUAAUUAAAGGAGACAAGGGACAAGAUGACAUCCGUGGAUAUGGCAAAUAGUCAAUAAUAAUGAAAGCUAGCAUCACAUCUGCUGCAUGCUUGUCACAUGCCAAGCACACCACUUCAAGAGUUGUACAAUUUACAAUGUGGACGUGGAGGAAGAAAACUAAAGAAGGGCAACAGAGAGAGCCUUGCACCAAGACCACAACCACUCCAGGGGGUGGGAUUAUAUCCAUUCCACACAGGAGGAAUCGGAAGCUUUGGGAGCUGACGUAAAACUGGUAAACGGUGAAACCAGGAUUCAAACCCAAUUCUACCUGGCUGCCAAAACCACACAUUGCUUUCCCCAGUUCACAGGCUAUCACAGCAUCAGCAGCAAUCAAGGUAGAAAACCUAAUCGAAUAUCACAAAAAUAGGAACCCAUCUGUGAUGAGAAAACUUACAGAUCUCGGACUGCAAACUGAAAAUGCCUACAGGGCCAAGGCAAGUAAUAUAAAAUGAAGGGAAUUCAACGGGACUGGGAACAGGAGACCAUGUGUAUCAUCUACAGAGGCAGCUGCUGCUUCACUUCAUGCAGGAAUGUGGGCCUGGUGUUGCCAGAUUUUGUGCUUCUUUUCAAGAGACACUGGAAAUAAUCUCAUUAUUUCAUACUGACAAUUAAUUUUUAAAAAUUAAACACACCACUGAUC